RNAcentral lists this ribosomal RNA (464 nucleotides) under uncultured bacterium. Its description in RNAcentral is "partial 16S ribosomal RNA". It matches the Rfam family "Bacterial small subunit ribosomal RNA", at positions 28 to 507 of the family's 1533-position model. The record is from RNAcentral.
GACGAACGCUGGCGGCGUGCUUAACACAUGCAAGUCGAACGGAAAGGCACCUUUGGGGGUACUCGAGUGGCGAACGGGUGAGUAACACGUGAGUAACCUGCCCUUGACUUCGGGAUAACUUCAGGAAACUGGGGCUAAUACCGGAUAGGAAUCCUUGCUGCAUGGUGGGGGUUGGAAAGCUUCGGCGGUUUUGGAUGGACUCGCGGCUUAUCAGCUUGUUGGUGGGGUAGUGGCUUACCAAGGCUUUGACGGGUAGCCGGCCUGAGAGGGCGACCGGCCACAUUGGGACUGAGAUACGGCCCAGACUCCUACGGGAGGCAGCAGUGGGGAAUAUUGCACAAUGGGCGGAAGCCUGAUGCAGCAACGCCGCGUGCGGGAUGACGGCCUUCGGGUUGUAAACCGCUUUCAGCAGGGGCGAAGCUUUUGUGACGGUACCUGCAGAAGAAGCACCGGCUAACUACGUG